UUAAGCGACUAAGCGUACACGGUGGAUGCCCUGGCAGUCAGAGGCGAUGAAGGACGUGCUAAUCUGCGAUAAGCGUCGGUAAGGUGAUAUGAACCGUUAUAACCGGCGAUUUCCGAAUGGGGAAACCCAGUGUGUUUCGACACACUAUCAUUAACUGAAUCCAUAGGUUAAUGAGGCGAACCGGGGGAACUGAAACAUCUAAGUACCCCGAGGAAAAGAAAUCAACCGAGAUUCCCCCAGUAGCGGCGAGCGAACGGGGAGCAGCCCAGAGCCUGAAUCAGUGUGUGUGUUAGUGGAAGCGUCUGGAAAGGCGCGCGAUACAGGGUGACAGCCCCGUACACAAAAAUGCACAUGCUGUGAGCUCGAUGAGUAGGGCGGGACACGUGGUAUCCUGUCUGAAUAUGGGGGGACCAUCCUCCAAGGCUAAAUACUCCUGACUGACCGAUAGUGAACCAGUACCGUGAGGGAAAGGCGAAAAGAACCCCGGCGAGGGGAGUGAAAAAGAACCUGAAACCGUGUACGUACAAGCAGUGGGAGCACGCUUAGGCGUGUGACUGCGUACCUUUUGUAUAAUGGGUCAGCGACUUAUAUUCUGUAGCAAGGUUAACCGAAUAGGGGAGCCGAAGGGAAACCGAGUCUUAACUGGGCGUUAAGUUGCAGGGUAUAGACCCGAAACCCGGUGAUCUAGCCAUGGGCAGGUUGAAGGUUGGGUAACACUAACUGGAGGACCGAACCGACUAAUGUUGAAAAAUUAGCGGAUGACUUGUGGCUGGGGGUGAAAGGCCAAUCAAACCGGGAGAUAGCUGGUUCUCCCCGAAAGCUAUUUAGGUAGCGCCUCGUGAAUUCAUCUCCGGGGGUAGAGCACUGUUUCGGCAAGGGGGUCAUCCCGACUUACCAACCCGAUGCAAACUGCGAAUACCGGAGAAUGUUAUCACGGGAGACACACGGCGGGUGCUAACGUCCGUCGUGAAGAGGGAAACAACCCAGACCGCCAGCUAAGGUCCCAAAGUCAUGGUUAAGUGGGAAACGAUGUGGGAAGGCCCAGACAGCCAGGAUGUUGGCUUAGAAGCAGCCAUCAUUUAAAGAAAGCGUAAUAGCUCACUGGUCGAGUCGGCCUGCGCGGAAGAUGUAACGGGGCUAAACCAUGCACCGAAGCUGCGGCAGCGACGCUGAUGCGUUGUUGGGUAGGGGAGCGUUCUGUAAGCCUGCGAAGGUGUGCUGUGAGGCAUGCUGGAGGUAUCAGAAGUGCGAAUGCUGACAUAAGUAACGAUAAAGCGGGUGAAAAGCCCGCUCGCCGGAAGACCAAGGGUUCCUGUCCAACGUUAAUCGGGGCAGGGUGAGUCGACCCCUAAGGCGAGGCCGAAAGGCGUAGUCGAUGGGAAACAGGUUAAUAUUCCUGUACUUGGUGUUACUGCGAAGGGGGGACGGAGAAGGCUAUGUUGGCCGGGCGACGGUUGUCCCGGUUUAAGCGUGUAGGCUGGUUUUCCAGGCAAAUCCGGAAAAUCAAGGCUGAGGCGUGAUGACGAGGCACUACGGUGCUGAAGCAACAAAUGCCCUGCUUCCAGGAAAAGCCUCUAAGCAUCAGGUAACAUCAAAUCGUACCCCAAACCGACACAGGUGGUCAGGUAGAGAAUACCAAGGCGCUUGAGAGAACUCGGGUGAAGGAACUAGGCAAAAUGGUGCCGUAACUUCGGGAGAAGGCACGCUGAUAUGUAGGUGAAGCGACUUGCUCGUGGAGCUGAAAUCAGUCGAAGAUACCAGCUGGCUGCAACUGUUUAUUAAAAACACAGCACUGUGCAAACACGAAAGUGGACGUAUACGGUGUGACGCCUGCCCGGUGCCGGAAGGUUAAUUGAUGGGGUCAGCGCAAGCGAAGCUCUUGAUCGAAGCCCCGGUAAACGGCGGCCGUAACUAUAACGGUCCUAAGGUAGCGAAAUUCCUUGUCGGGUAAGUUCCGACCUGCACGAAUGGCGUAAUGAUGGCCAGGCUGUCUCCACCCGAGACUCAGUGAAAUUGAACUCGCUGUGAAGAUGCAGUGUACCCGCGGCAAGACGGAAAGACCCCGUGAACCUUUACUAUAGCUUGACACUGAACAUUGAGCCUUGAUGUGUAGGAUAGGUGGGAGGCUUGGAAGUGUGGACGCCAGUCUGCAUGGAGCCGACCUUGAAAUACCACCCUUUAAUGUUUGAUGUUCUAACGUGGACCCGUGAUCCGGGUUGCGGACAGUGUCUGGUGGGUAGUUUGACUGGGGCGGUCUCCUCCUAAAGAGUAACGGAGGAGCACGAAGGUUGGCUAAUCCUGGUCGGACAUCAGGAGGUUAGUGCAAUGGCAUAAGCCAGCUUGACUGCGAGCGUGACGGCGCGAGCAGGUGCGAAAGCAGGUCAUAGUGAUCCGGUGGUUCUGAAUGGAAGGGCCAUCGCUCAACGGAUAAAAGGUACUCCGGGGAUAACAGGCUGAUACCGCCCAAGAGUUCAUAUCGACGGCGGUGUUUGGCACCUCGAUGUCGGCUCAUCACAUCCUGGGGCUGAAGUAGGUCCCAAGGGUAUGGCUGUUCGCCAUUUAAAGUGGUACGCGAGCUGGGUUUAGAACGUCGUGAGACAGUUCGGUCCCUAUCUGCCGUGGGCGCUGGAGAACUGAGGGGGGCUGCUCCUAGUACGAGAGGACCGGAGUGGACGCAUCACUGGUGUUCGGGUUGUCAUGCCAAUGGCACUGCCCGGUAGCUAAAUGCGGAAGAGAUAAGUGCUGAAAGCAUCUAAGCACGAAACUUGCCCCGAGAUGAGUUCUCCCUGACCCUUUAAGGGUCCUGAAGGAACGUUGAAGACGACGACGUUGAUAGGCCGGGUGUGUAAGCGCAGCGAUGCGUUGAGCUAACCGGUACUAAUGAACCGUGAGGCUUAACCUU
Molecule: ribosomal RNA, 2902 nt
Filed under: Escherichia coli
Lineage: Bacteria; Pseudomonadati; Pseudomonadota; Gammaproteobacteria; Enterobacterales; Enterobacteriaceae
Description: bacterial LSU rRNA
Rfam family: Bacterial large subunit ribosomal RNA
Source: RNAcentral